This 477-nucleotide ribosomal RNA is filed under the name uncultured bacterium. RNAcentral's name for it is "partial 16S ribosomal RNA". It matches the Rfam family "Bacterial small subunit ribosomal RNA", at positions 28 to 523 of the family's 1533-position model. The record is from RNAcentral.
GAUCAACGCUGGCGGCGUGCCUAAUGCAUGCAAGUCGAACGGGCUUCCUUCGGGGAGUCACGUGGCGGACGGGUGCGUAACACGUGGGGAACCUGCCCCGAGGUGGGGGAUAUCCGUCGGAAACGGCGGGCAAUCCCGCAUGAGCUCGAUCCGCGGAGGCGGGGUGAGGAAAGCCGCGAGGCGCCUUGGGAGGGUCCUGCGGCCGAUUAGGUAGACGGCGGGGUAACGGCCCACCGUGCCGAUGAUCGGUAGCUGGUCUGAGAGGACGGCCAGCCACACGGGGACUGAGAGACGGCCCCAGACUCCUACGGGAGGCAGCAGUGGGGAAUAUUGCACAAUGGGCGCAAGCCUGAUGCAGCGACGCCGCGUGAGGGAUGACGGCCUUCGGGUUGUAAACCUCUUUCAGCUAUGACGAAGCGCAAGUGACGGUAGUAGCAGAAGAAGGACCGGCCAACUACGUGCCAGCAGCCGCAGUAA